ACUCCUACGGGAGGCAGCAGUGGGGAAUUUUGGACAAUGGGCGAAAGCCUGAUCCAGCAAUGCCGCGUGAGUGAAGAAGGCCUUCGGGUUGUAAAGCUCUUUUGUCAGGGAAGAAACGGUGAGAGCUAAUAUCUUUUGCUAAUGACGGUACCUGAAGAAUAAGCACCGGCUAACUACGUGCCAGCAGCCGCGGUAAUACGUAGGGUGCAAGCGUUAAUCGGAAUUACUGGGCGUAAAGCGUGCGCAGGCGGUUUUGUAAGUCUGAUGUGAAAUCCCCGGGCUCAACCUGGGAAUUGCAUUGGAGACUGCAAGGCUAGAAUCUGGCAGAGGGGGGUAGAAUUCCACGUGUAGCAGUGAAAUGCGUAGAUAUGUGGAGGAACACCGAUGGCGAAGGCAGCCCCCUGGGUCAAGAUUGACGCUCAUGCACGAAAGCGUGGGGAGCAAACAGGAUUAGAAACCCUUGUAGUCCCA
This 471-nucleotide ribosomal RNA is filed under the name uncultured organism. RNAcentral's name for it is "partial 16S ribosomal RNA". It matches the Rfam family "Bacterial small subunit ribosomal RNA", at positions 335 to 797 of the family's 1533-position model. The record is from RNAcentral.